Molecule: RNA transcript, 1346 nt
Organism: Cornus florida
Lineage: Eukaryota; Viridiplantae; Streptophyta; Magnoliopsida; Cornales; Cornaceae
Exons: 6
Source: RefSeq, a predicted model, not a curated record
UUGUUGUUCAUCAAUCCGUGAGAGAGAGCACUCUUUACACCAAUUUGUUUAUUUUACUGGCAGCAUAGCCUUAAAAUGGUCUCCCUCUCUCUCUUUCUCUCUCUCUCUAUAGGCCCAUGGAUGAUGGGCCACCAGACAAAAAAAAAUAUUUCCCCAAUCGCCUCCAUCUCUAUUAUCGUUCUCAACUCUGAACUUCCCGCCUCUCUGUCUCUGUCUCUUUCUCUCUCUGCAACUGCAAACUACGAAAUCUACAAGAAUCAGAAGUUCAAAACCCAUAUAUUUCAGUUUAUCUAUCUGUCUGCAAGAAUCAAAAGUUCAAAACCCAUUAACUAUAUCAAAACCCAUAUCUUUCAGUUUCCAUCGCCCGCUGUUCCAGUUCGGCUUCGCUGUUCGCAAGCUUCAGCCGCUGUCUCUCAACUCUCAAGCUUGCCCCCCUCUCUCUCUGCAACUGCUAACUUGGUUUUACCUCUAACUACUAGCAAUCAAGGGAAUGUUACCUCAGUCCUCAGGCUUACCUCUUGGAAAGAGAGAAAGAUAAAAGGGAUUGGGUGGACUCGGCAAAAAAAAAAAAAAAAGAAAAUUGGUUGAGUUGGCUGCCAGCAAAUUCCCGUAUAUGGGUUAUCCUCGGCCAAGCGCGUUUUUUUAUUUGAUGAAUUGGUAUCCUGCUAUAUCCGCCGAUGCGAGACGAUGGAAGAGUUGAGGGAAUUGUGGUUCUUUAUGAGGACAAAUCCAUUAUUUUAUAACAGCGAGAAGCGAUACAAUUUUGUGCAAAAAGCAUUCAUGCUGCAAAAGACGGAGUAUGAUUUUAUUAAGAAAGUUUCAUUGAACACGAGGUCGAUGGAUAUGGCCGACUGGCACAUUGAAGUGCAAGGAGAACAUGAGCUAUAUAAUGUCCUAAUAUAUGGUACUGAAGGUAGCUUUUUCGGUAUUUGCCUGUUCCAAAGUUUUUCUUUCAAAUGGCAGAGAACUAUUAUAAACUACCUACUAAUGAUACUAAUGAGAGGGAUAUGAGCCUACAAUCCUUGAAAGAUCCUCCCUACCCAUUGGGUCGCUAUUAUAUUUGAUGGAGAACCAGACCUGGCCUGAGUGCUUGAAGUCUAUUUGACCCACACCUAUUAUUAGAGACGUGGGAAAGAAAGAUAGAAUUCAGGAUUUUGCUUUUAUAAUUAUUAUUGAAUUUUAAGGUUUUAUUUAUGGUAAUAGGAAUUUUAGGCUCUUCUUUGAUGCCUAUUUAUAUGUUGGUUCAGACAUUGUGAAAGUCAAUUUGAAUUUUGAGAUGGAAAAUACUUGAGUUACGGCCGAUUGUGCCCUCCUGAGUGAUGUGGUUGAAUAAAAAUCUGACACGU